GCCGAGAGUAGUGAUGUACUCCUGUAAUCCAACUACUUGGAGGAUAGGUAUAGAGGAUGUUUAAGGGGGCGAAGAUAUUCUGGGAUUGGAUUUUCCACGUUGAUUAGGCGUCCGCUAGGGGUUGAGCUUCUGCUUGGAUGCCUUGGGAGAGCCCCGAGGUAGCCAGGUUGAGUCCGAAAAGAGGGGAAAAAUUAGCCCAAAAGUCUCACCGAGUUGAGAGUCGUGGACCCAAAUCCUGGGAGUUGUUCGAUUUUGGCUCGUAUAAACAAGAACAGACCUGUAUCUUU
This 287-nucleotide non-coding RNA is filed under the name Pediculus humanus corporis (human body louse). Lineage: Eukaryota; Metazoa; Arthropoda; Insecta; Psocodea; Pediculidae. The record is from RNAcentral.